CGUACACUCCUACGGGAGGCAGCAGUGGGGAAUAUUGGACAAUGGGCGCAAGCCUGAUCCAGCCAUGCCGCGUGAGUGAUGAAGGCCCUAGGGUUGUAAAGCUCUUUCACCGGUGAAGAUAAUGACGGUAACCGGAGAAGAAGCCCCGGCUAACUUCGUGCCAGCAGCCGCGGUAAUACGAAGGGGGCUAGCGUUGUUCGGAUUUACUGGGCGUAAAGCGCACGUAGGCGGACUAUUAAGUCAGGGGUGAAAUCCCGGGGCUCAACCCCGGAACUGCCUUUGAUACUGGUAGUCUUGAGUUCGAGAGAGGUGAGUGGAAUUCCGAGUGUAGAGGUGAAAUUCGUAGAUAUUCGGAGGAACACCAGUGGCGAAGGCGGCUCACUGGCUCGAUACUGACGCUGAGGUGCGAAAGCGUGGGGAGCAAACAGGAUUAGAUACCCCUGUAGUCCCAUGAU
Molecule: ribosomal RNA, 455 nt
Filed under: uncultured organism
Description: partial 16S ribosomal RNA
Rfam family: Bacterial small subunit ribosomal RNA
Source: RNAcentral